Dromaius novaehollandiae (emu) is the source of this 1004-nucleotide long non-coding RNA. RefSeq lists it as uncharacterized. The transcript is spliced from 4 exons. Lineage: Eukaryota; Metazoa; Chordata; Aves; Casuariiformes; Dromaiidae. The record is from RefSeq and is a predicted model, not a curated record.
CCUGGGCAGCGAUCCCCAACUUGUCUGCCGAGACUACGCAACAGCUCACAGCUGCCUGUGCAAUGAAAGCAAAGGCCAACUUCUCAGAGGGAAGAAGCAGGCUCCACACAGGAAGAUUAUGGCAGGGAUGCAGCUUCAUCGCUCGGCUCUUUGAAGAUGAUGACACUCGAAGAAUUGUUUGUCCCUCAGCUGGAUUGCAGAGAAAAGGACAGAACAGGGGUCCCCGGAAAACAUUUCCAUCUACGUUUCUGCUCUACGUAGUGCUUGUGUGCCUUAUGUCCAGUAAUGUGGAUGCAUGUGAGAUAUCGUUCUCGUCAGCUACUGUGGUUUCCGGCUUGCUUGCCGGAUGUUCUGCUGCUCCUCAGAAAUAUUGUCAGCUCUGUUCCAAGAGGAAGUGAGUAAGUUUUUUUUGUAGUAUGCAGAGUUAUGGAAGAGUCUAGACUUUAUGUGAAGAGUGUGAAGAGCCAAGUGAGCAUUCUUCCUGCCUGGAAGUGCAGUAUGAUGAGAAAGGAAGUCACAUCUUUGGAAACUAAGUGCAGCUGUGAGUAAGUCCAUGUGUCUGAAGGGGUCAAAAAGCAACCUCCUGCAAGCUAACGAAUUCACCUCUUUUCUUGUCCAAGCCUCAGUGCUGAGAGAGGAAAAAAAACUGCUGGCCUUCUCGGGACCGGCAGGAAGCAGUUUGCAGUCUCGCCCGGCAGCUCUUUUCUUUCAUCUGUGCCUGCGAACCCACUGCCAUCUGCUCUUUUGUGGCUCUGCUUCUGACUCCUACCGUGGCUUCUGGGGCUGUCCGCUUUGCUUUUUCAGAUACCUUGCGGGCCUUUUCCAGGCAUGCCUGAGGAUUUGAGGUGAGGUAGAAUGGGUGUCAUGGGAUUACUUUCAGUCAGGAUGUGGGAGUAUCGCUUUGGCGCGGUGCAGGUGAUGAAGGUGAGCGAAGGAAGAUUAGAGAGGAUGUGGCUGCCAUUGAGUGAUGCCUCUUAAGGAUCAAAAGUGACCUGACCGCCCCC